RNAcentral lists this ribosomal RNA (440 nucleotides) under uncultured bacterium. RNAcentral's name for it is "partial 16S ribosomal RNA". It matches the Rfam family "Bacterial small subunit ribosomal RNA", at positions 338 to 795 of the family's 1533-position model. The record is from RNAcentral.
CCUACGGGUGGCAGCAGUGGGGAAUAUUGCACAAUGGGGGGAACCCUGAUGCAGCGACGCCGCGUGAGUGAAGAAGUAUUUAGGUAUGUAAAGCUCUAUCAGCAGGGAAGAAGAUGACGGUACCUGACUUAGAAGCCCCGGCUAACUACGUGCCAGCAGCCGCGGUAAUACGUAGGGGGCAAGCGUUAUCCGGAUUUACUGGGUGUAAAGGGAGCGUAGACGGCAGGGCAGGUCUGGAGUGAAAGCCCGGGGCCCAACCCCGGGACUGCUUUGGAAACGGCCAUGCUAGAGUGCAGGAGAGGUAAGCGGAAUUCCUAGUGUAGCGGUGAAAUGCGUAGAUAUUAGGAGGAACACCAGUGGCGAAGGCGGCUUACUGGACAGUAACUGACGUUGAGGCUCGAAAGCGUGGGGAGCAAACAGGAUUAGAUACCCCUGUAGUC